Molecule: ribosomal RNA, 261 nt
Filed under: uncultured archaeon
Lineage: Archaea
Description: partial 16S ribosomal RNA
Rfam family: Archaeal small subunit ribosomal RNA
Source: RNAcentral
AGGGUGUAAACGCUGCAGACUUGGUGUUGGAGGCCCUUUGGGGGGCAUUCAGUGCCGGAGAGAAGUUGUUAAGUCUGCUACUUGGGGAGUACGUCCGCAAGGAUGAAACUUAAAGGAAUUGGCGGGGGAGCACCGCAACGGGAGGAGCGUGCGGUUUAAUUGGAUUCAACACCGUAAACUCACCAGGGAAGACUGUUACAUGAAGGCCGAGAUGAAGACUCUGCUAGAUUUUCAGAGAGGAGGUGCAUGGCGUCAGUGACU